UUGCAGUCAUAUCACGUUGAUACACCAGUUCCCGUACGAGCACUGAAGUUAAGCAACAUCGAACCAGGUCUGUACCUAGAUAGGUGAAGCCUUGAUUAUACCUGGUGCUGUAAG
Acanthosepion pharaonis is the source of this 114-nucleotide non-coding RNA. The record is from the annotation of a GenBank genome assembly. Lineage: Eukaryota; Metazoa; Mollusca; Cephalopoda; Sepiida; Sepiidae.